UCGGGAAUUUUGGGCAAUGGGCGAAGGCCUGACCCAGCAACGCCGCGUGAGGGAUGAAGUAUUUCGGUAUGUAAACCUCGAAAGAAUGGGAAGAAUAAAUGACGGUACCAUUUAUAAGCUCCGGCUAACUACGUGCCAGCAGCCGCGGUAAUACGUAGGGAGCAAGCGUUGUUCGGAUUUACUGGGCGUAAAGGGCGCGUAGGCGGCGCGGUAAGUCACUUGUGAAAUCUCUGAGCUUAACUCAGAACGGCCAAGUGAUACUGCUGUGCUAGAGUGCGGAAGAGGCAACCGGAAUUCUUGGUGUAGCGGUGAAAUGCGUAGAUAGCAAGAGGAACACCUGAGGCGAAGGCGGGUUGCUGGGCCGACACUGACGCUGAUGCGCGAAAGCCAGGGGAGCAAACG
RNAcentral lists this ribosomal RNA (402 nucleotides) under uncultured bacterium. Its description in RNAcentral is "bacterial SSU rRNA". It matches the Rfam family "Bacterial small subunit ribosomal RNA", at positions 355 to 774 of the family's 1533-position model. The record is from RNAcentral.